This 759-nucleotide ribosomal RNA is filed under the name uncultured Neisseriaceae bacterium. Its description in RNAcentral is "bacterial SSU rRNA". It matches the Rfam family "Bacterial small subunit ribosomal RNA", at positions 28 to 776 of the family's 1533-position model. Lineage: Bacteria; Pseudomonadati; Pseudomonadota; Betaproteobacteria; Neisseriales; Neisseriaceae. The record is from RNAcentral.
AUUGAACGCUGGCGGCAUGCUUUACACAUGCAAGUCGGACGGCAGCAUAAAAGAGCUUGCUCUUUUGAUGGCGAGUGGCGAACGGGUGAGUAAUGCAUCGGAACGUACCGAGUAGUGGGGGAUAACUGUCCGAAAGGAUGGCUAAUACCGCAUAUUCUCUGAGGAGGAAAGCAGGGGACCUUAGGGCCUUGCGCUAUUUGAGCGGCCGAUGUCUGAUUAGCUAGUUGGUGGGGUAAGAGCCCACCAAGGCGACGAUCAGUAGCGGGUCUGAGAGGAUGAUCCGCCACACUGGGACUGAGACACGGCCCAGACUCCUACGGGAGGCAGCAGUGGGGAAUUUUGGACAAUGGGCGCAAGCCUGAUCCAGCCAUGCCGCGUGUAUGAAGAAGGCCUUCGGGUUGUAAAGUACUUUUGUCAGGGAAGAAAAGCCUGAGGAUAACACCCUCAGGUCAUGACGGUACCUGAAGAAUAAGCACCGGCUAACUACGCGCCAGCAGCCGCGGUAAUACGUAGGGUGCGAGCGUUAAUCGGAAUUACUGGGCGUAAAGCGAGCGCAGACGGUUAUUUAAGCAAGAUGUGAAAGCCCCGGGCUCAACCUGGGAACUGCGUUUUGAACUGGGUAACUAGAGUGUGUCAGAGGGGGGUAGAAUUCCACGUGUAGCAGUGAAAUGCGUAGAGAUGUGGAGGAAUACCGAUGGCGAAGGCAGCCCCCUGGGAUAACACUGACGUUCAUGCUCGAAAGCGUGGGUAGCAAACAGG